RNAcentral lists this ribosomal RNA (497 nucleotides) under uncultured bacterium. Its description in RNAcentral is "partial 16S ribosomal RNA". It matches the Rfam family "Bacterial small subunit ribosomal RNA", at positions 28 to 507 of the family's 1533-position model. The record is from RNAcentral.
GAUGAACGCUGGCGGCGUGCCUAAUACAUGCAGGUCGAGCGAACGGACGAGAAGCUUGCUUCUCUGAUGUUAGCGGCGGACGGGUGAGUAACACGUGGAUAACCUACCUAUAAGACUGGGAUAACUUCGGGAAACCGUAGCUAAUACCGGAUGAUAUUUUGAACCGCAUGGUUCAAAAGUGAAAGACGGUCUUGCUGUCACUUAUAGAUGGAUCCGCGCUGCAUUAGCUAGUUGGUAAGGUAACGGCUUACCAAGGCAACGAUGCAUAGCCGACCUGAGAGGGUGAUCGGCCACACUGGAACUGAGACACGGUCCAGACUCCUACGGGAGGCAGCAGUAGGGAAUCUUCCGCAAUGGGCGAAAGCCUGACGGAGCAACGCCGCGUGAGUGAUGAAGGUCUUCGGAUCGUAAAACUCUGUUAUUAGGGAAGAACAUAUGUGUAAGUAACUGUGCACAUCUUGACGGUACCUAAUCAGAAAGCCACGGCUAACUACGUG